UUUUAACCUUCACCUUUAUAUAAUAGUAGGGUGCGCUGUCAUCACGUAAACAAUUACAUGUGGAAAAGAAGAACUGAUAAAAAUAAGUAAGAAAAUGAAUCAGAUUACUAGAAGAGUAUUGUCACAUCAUUUGUUCAAGAAACUGAAGUUUGUCCGACAGCUCAAGCAUUCUUGUUGUAAUGUCACAUCCACUGGUCAAUGGGAUAUAAUCAAAGAUCAAAGACAUUUCUCCACGGCAUCAUCCAGUGACAAGAAGAUUUUAAGUGUUUCUACCUUAUUAUUACAAGAUGGUCUGGAUAUUGAUGAGUUACCUAUUAUUAUACGACAUUCAGACAGAUCAACAUUUCCUUUUACUGAUACGGGUAAUACCCAGUCAGAAAAGACUAUGAAGCAUGAAUCUCAAGAAGACAAACAGUUCAAGUCACAUAUUCAAGAGUGUGCCUCAGUAAAACAGAUCUUUCAGCUUCUUGAGAUUCCAUCCGAUUUUGUGAAUGUGCUUUCUGCAACUAAUGCACUUUUUAAAAUUUGUCAGUUACAAAAUGACAAUAAAGGUUUAGAUGACUUACAUUCAUUUAUUCACAAAGCUAUAAUGAAUGAAUUGUGUGACACUGUAAGUAAUGAGAUUUGUACAUUAACAAAAGACACGUUAAUAGCAGUAUUUCAGUGUUCGAAACGAUCAGAAGGCAUAUUAGACAGAUGUUUUUCUUCUGUUGUGCAAGAAAUUGAACAGAGGAUAGGUGACGGUAGAUUUUCCAUUGAUGAACUAUGUCUCCUCGCUGAAAUUUUACAUACUCCACAUAAAGACAAAAGACAACGACAAUUACACAAAUAUUUGUGGAUUCACAUUGGUAAUCGGUAUAAGGACAUUUCUGAGACAAAUGUUGCAAAAGUCUUACGAUUAUAUCCCAGAUCUAUAAAACAUGAACACUACAUAAAAUUGAUUGGAAAUCAGAUUGCUGUAUUUUGGUGGAAACUGAAAGGGGAAGAUUUUGCUUCCGUUGUAACAUCUUUAAUCCAGCUCAAUUAUCAUGACAAUAGACUCUUCUCAAGGCUUGCUCGUUGGUUUUCUGUAAAUGUUCAUGCUGUAAGAGAAAUUGAUUUAAUGGUUAUGUUGACAGCAUACAAUCGUUUAAAGCAUCCUGUUUUACAUUUCUUUGAUACACUAGAGAAGUACGUUGCUGCAAAAAUAGACAAAAUUGAUGUCAACCUAUUGGCACUAAUUGUGCAGUUGUGUCGUACAAAAAAGUAUUUAUCACCUGUUAUUUUAGACGCGGCUGCAUCACAUUUUAAACAGCAUGGACAGGAAUAUACACCAUUACAGUUGUUGACUAUUCUCAGAUGCUUUGGACAUUUAAAUUAUUUGCCAAAUGAACCAACAGAGUUUCUUUUCAAAGUAGAAUCAGUGUUAGAUGAAGCUUUCGAGGAUCUUGGAGUUGAACGAAUAUGUGCUAUUUUGUCCUCCUUUGCAAUGAUUGGCAAAGUGUCUAUGAAUUUAGCCCCCAGAGUAUUUGAUGAAUUGUUUUUAAUCAGAAUCAAAGAGACCUUACACAGGCUACCGGCAUAUAUAAACAAAAUCAGUUUGCAUAGUGAAACUACAGUUCUCCAAUUUUGGCUAUAAAUACAAACACAAACACAUCUGUCAUCUGAGACACGUUUUCACAACAUUUUCUCCGAAAAAGAUAAAUAACAAUGUCUUCUACAUCCCAAAAACACAAGAAUUUUGUUUCUGAACCUAUGGUUGAAAAGGCUGUAACUGAAAUAUCAGGCACACACUUCACUGGGGCAGUUUUUACUGCUGAAGAAGGAGGAGAAAAUGUUCAAGUGUUGGUUAAAAGAUACAUGUGGCGCCAAUCCUAAACAACAAAAUGAUUUUUACAAGUGUUUAAAAGAAUGGUGUGAUUCCUUCUUAGGCUGACCUUAAAAAUAUCUUUGUUUCACCAAACCCGACCCACAAUCGAGGAGAAGGGUCGGUAGGUCGUUUUUUUUUUCAGAUUUUUUUUUUAAAGUUAGAGAAAUCAAAACAGAAAACUUAUUAGCUGUAUACUACAGAUUCAUUAAUUUUGUUUAAUGAAUUUGGGUUCUGACGUAAAAAGUAACGAACUGAAAGUCUUUUUAUUAAACUUAAGAGCUAAUUUGACAGCUUAACAAUUUUCCGGGUGGAAACAUUCGUCUUCUUUAUUCAAUUGGCAAAAAAAUCAAUGACAUCGGGAAUUUUUCGUGAUGCCCGACUCGCACACGAUUUGCCACGAACUUGAAGUGUGAAACUCCUUCAACACGUUUUUAACGAUAGUGCGGGUUGUGCCUUCAUUUUUCUCGAAAACGGAUAUUGAUAAUAUCGUCGUUAUGUUUAAAACUACGCACCACAGACAAAGAAGCAGAAUCAUUUCGUGGGAAUGGACGUGUAUUCGUCUGCAACCAUUUUGUUGAGAAGCGACACCUAUGACGCUAUCGUCUUGAUCAACCAGUUUCAAUAAUGAAUCAAACCGUAGCCAUAGUAAAGGGAAAUAACUCUUGUGAUAUAUUUCAGGUUGACGCACAAAAUAAAAUAAAAAGAUCGUGGAAAAGUGCAAUAAAAUAAUUUAAGUCGGGGGUGGUUUUAGUUAGUCGGUCGCGUUAGGCGAAACAAAGAUAUUUUUAAGGUCAGCCUUAUAAUUCUAAAGAGUUGUAUAAUAUUUAAUAACUGUCUAUAGUUACAAUUUUAUUGUGUGAUACAUAUGUUCAAGUAUGUUGUAUUCUCAAAAUCGAAAUCACUGCAAUGUUAAAUUGUAUUGGUAUAAUAAUGCUUUGAAUGUGUCUAUUAUAAUGCUUUGAGAAAAACAAUGUUCUAGAGAUAUUAUUAUUUACAUGUCAUCUGGAAAAAAUGUCUAGAAAAUAAUAUAUGUAGUUUUUGAAGCCUAUUAGGAUUAGUUCAGUUGAAUGCUCAUGGUUAUUGAUCUACAUUAGCUCACACUAUUAUAUAAACUGAAGCAUAAUUUGCACAUACACAAAUCUAUAGGUAUGUUAAAUAAGAUGACAAAGCAACAAAAUGAAUACAAAAUUUAUGGAAAAAUUUGUUUAGUCAGUCUUUCUGAUAUACAUGUACUAAAUAAAAUGUAAAGUUCUUAUGAAAUUGGAUCGAGGUUAAGCAAUAAAUUUUAACAUUUAUUAUCUAUGUAAUGUUUUCUUUUAAAUCAGUACACUGUUUGCCUAGGCUGUACUGCCCUGUAGUUUGUUGAAUAUUAUGAUCAAAUAUUUUUAAUCUUAAUUCUGACUUAAAUAUAAUAAUUUUUAUUGUCACCAGGAUGAGAAUUUAGAUGUAAAUUGUUAAAUUUCUGUGUUACACUAGUAUCUUCCUUUAUUUGUUUAUAAAAAUCAAUCAUAAAUAGAUUUUAAUCAUGCUGUUA
Molecule: RNA transcript, 3383 nt
Organism: Patella vulgata (common limpet)
Lineage: Eukaryota; Metazoa; Mollusca; Gastropoda; Patellidae
Exons: 5
Source: RefSeq, a predicted model, not a curated record